This is a long non-coding RNA of Trematomus bernacchii (emerald rockcod), 617 nucleotides long. RefSeq lists it as uncharacterized. The transcript has 3 exons. The record is from RefSeq and is a predicted model, not a curated record. Lineage: Eukaryota; Metazoa; Chordata; Actinopteri; Perciformes; Nototheniidae.
CAGUUUUCCAGGACUCUUCACCAUGUUUCCACGAAUAAUCAAUCUGUCAGAUUUAUUGUCCGCCCGGGAGUCGCAGUAAUAAAUACAGCGCUACGUGUUUGGCAGCUGCACUAAAUGUUUCAUUCCCGCAUACUGAGCUCUUAUCUGUAACAUCUUUAUUUUUAAAAAGGUACAAGUGGAGCCAUUUCCUGCACCAUGUGACCACCAUCAUGUACCUGGCACAUGAUCCACUGAUGUUCUGUCUGAGGGUCAAACACUGAGCUGCCAGGGAACACUGAUAGUAGGAAUAAUUAACUCCUGCUGCAGACAAAUCAGUGCACUAAUGAGGAGGAGAUACUCACACUUAUUGGACUGGAAGUCUGGGACAAACUGCUCGUCAUCGGGAACCUGAGCUGUAAGAGAGGGAGUGUUAAAGGACUCUUCUCGUCAGCUCUCACCUUCUGCGAUCCAUAUUUCCUGGAGCUGGAUCAGGUCUUGAAAGAGCUCUGAAAGUCAGUUAUAAGCCAAAAUGAAUAUUGACGUUUCCAAAGUGACAACAAGUUUCCGAAUCUCUCUCUCUCUCUCGUACUGUGUUGUGUAACCACUGACGCAGUAAACACUUUGACAUGUGGACAUGA